This 2516-nucleotide long non-coding RNA is filed under the name Nicotiana tabacum (common tobacco). Its description in RNAcentral is "long non-coding RNA (NTAB_LNC000410)". The record is from RNAcentral. Lineage: Eukaryota; Viridiplantae; Streptophyta; Magnoliopsida; Solanales; Solanaceae.
AAAAAGCAACUCAGCGAAGUAGUAGACCUCAAAGUGUAAUAGAAGCGAGACAGAGUAGUUUGGGUAGAAAGGCUGGCGAUCCACAAUCCCUGCAUAUCCCUACAUGAAACUAAUCACUUGGAAUGUUAGGGGUUUGAAUAAGCUGUAUAAGCAGAAGGAGAUGAAUGAGUUUUUGACGGUGAAUAAAGUCAGUAUAAUAGCUAUAAUUGAACAUAGAGUUACAGAACAAGCAUCAAAGAAGAUUGUUGAUAGAAUAGCACCUUUAUGGAAAUGGAGCAACAACUACAACACCGGGAAACGAGGCAGGAUAUGGAUCUUAUGGAACCCUAACAUAGUUAGCUUCCAGUUAGAAACAGUACAUACUCAAUAUAUAUAUAUGGAAGGGUCUGCUGGCUAGAUAAAUGAAUAUACUUCAGCUUCACUACAACAUAUGGACUUCAUAAUGUUGGUGAUAGAAGGACUUUAUGGAAUAGGCUUAACAAAAUCAGUGGAUUGCAGCAGGAGCCUUGGCUAGUAAUAGGUGACUUCAAUGCAGUAUUAUCAGUAGAUGAUAGAAUAAAUGGCAACCCAAUACAUGAAUCAGAAGUGGUAGACUUUAGAGAAUUUAUGAGAAAUUGCAAUAUGACUAAAUUGAGAAGUGUGGGAAGGGAGUUUACAUAGACAAAUAACAACAUCUACAACAAGAUAGAUAGGGUGUGGUAAAUGUAGAAUGGAUGAAUAAUUUUCCACAAGUGGACGUUGUAGUUUGGAGCCCCUUUUCUCUGACCAUAGCCCUUUGAGUGUCGAAAAUGGUGGAUAAAUCAAAAAGAGGGGCAAAACCUUUCAGAUUCUUCAAUUACCUUGCAGAACAUGAAGACUUUACUGCUUUGGUAGAGGCAGGAUGGCAGGAACCUGUACAGGGGAACUACAUGAAGAGUGUUUGGGAAAAAUUGAAGAAUGUCAAGCAGGAACUUAAGAAGUUGCCUAAUACAUAAAUUAUUGAAAUUCAGAAAAAGUAUGUAACAUUAGGAAACAGCUAGUAGAGGUUCAAGAGCAAAUGAAAGACAUCAAUCAGCAUAGUAUUUUGGUAAAUCAGGAAAAGAAAUUAAGAGAGCAGCUGGAGAAAUGAGUGAAUACAGAGGAAAGUGCAGCUAAGCAAAAAUCAAGAAACCAAUGGUUACAAUUAGGAGACACGAACUCAGCUUAUUUCUUUGCCUCAGCAAAAAGUAGAAUGGCACAAAAUAAAAUUAGAAAUCUUGUAUCUAGCAAUGGAGAUAUGCUGCAGACAAAGGAUGAUAUCAGGAAAGAAAUAAUAGGCUUCUAUAAGCAAUUGCUAGGAUCAGCAGCAAAUCAUUUGCAUGCCAUAAAUCCUGAGAUAAUGAAGGAAGGUCAGAUCUUGAAUAGAGACAUGCAGCUGAUAUUGAUAGAACCCGUGACCAGGCAAGAGAUAAUGGAAGCAUUGAGGGACAUUGAUGACCAGAAAGCACCGGGGUGCGAUGGUUUUAACUGCCUAUUUUGCAAGAAGGCUUGGAAUACAAUAGGAGAGGAGAUAACUGAAGCAAUAUUACACUUUUUCUCAACAAAUGACAUGCACAAGCCUAUAAACUGCACCUACCAUCAAACUGCACCUCAGUCACCUUGAUUCCAAAAGUCAAGAGCCCAUCUACCAUCAAACAAUUUAGACCCAUCUCCUAUUGUACAGUUUUGUACAAAAUCAUAUCCAAAGUGCUCACAAAAAGACUUCAAAGUGUCAUAGAUCAUCUCAUUGACAAAAGUCAAUCUGCUUUCGUCCCUGGGAGGGUUAUCUAUGACAAUAUCAUUCUUAGCCAUGAGCUAAUUAAGGGAUAUGAUAGAAAGAGUGUCUCACCUAGAUGCAUGUUGAAUAUAGAUAUGCAAAAAGCAUAUGACUCGGUGGAGUGGACUUUCUUAGAACAAGUACUAAACUUCCUUGCCAAAUAUGUCGACUGGAUUAUGAUUUGUAUGACCAAUGUCUCUUAUUCCAUUCUGAUCAACAGGAUUCCAAGUCCCCCUUUUCCUGCAAAGAAAGGCCCGAGACAGGGUGAUCCAUUAUCCCCUUUCCUCUUUGUUUUGACGAUGGAGUACCUUAAUAGACAUUUGAGGACUCUGAGGCAUAAUCCUGAUUUCAACUAUCACCCUAAAUGUUCAAAACUUCAAAUAAUUCAGCUAGGUUUUGCAGAUGACCUACUGUUAUUUUGUAGAGGGGAUGUGAUUUCUGUACAACUAUUAUUCGGGUGUUUCUCUGAAUUCUCUAUGUGUUCUGGGUUGAUUGCAAAUAUUGAAAAGAGCUCUAUAUUUUUUGGUGGCAUUGGAAGGGAGGAGCAGAAUGAAAUCAUGAAUAUUUUGGGAUACUCUAAAGGGGAGUUGCCCAUCAAGUACCUUGAGGUACCACUGAGUUCAAAGAGACUGUCAGUUACUCAAUGUUACCCUCUGGUGGACAAGAUGAUUGGAAGAAUAACUUCAUGGACCGCAAAAUACCUUUCUUAUGCAGGCAAGCUACAAUUAAUUAAGAAUGUGUU